GAAUAUUGGACAAUGGGCGAAAGCCUGAUCCAGCAAUGCCGCGGGUGUGAAGAAGGUCUUCGGAUUGUAGAGCACUUUAAGUGGGGCGGAAGGGCAGUAAAUUAAUACUUUGCUGUUUUGACGUUACCGACAGCAUAAGCACCGGCUAACUCUGUGCCCGCAGCCGCGGUAAUACAGAGGGUGCAAUAGUUAAUAGGAAUUACUGGGCGUCAAUCGCUCGUAGGUGGUUUGUUAAGUUGGAUGUGAAAUCCCCGGGCUCAACCUGGGAACUGCAUCCAAAACUGGCAAGCUAGAGUAUGGUAGAGGGUGGUGGAAUUUCCUGUGUAGCGGUGAAAUGCGUAGAUAUAGGAAGGAACACCAGUGGCGAAGGCGACCACCUGGACUGAUACUGACACUGAGGUGCGAAAGCGUGGGGAGCAAACA
This 423-nucleotide ribosomal RNA is filed under the name uncultured bacterium. Its description in RNAcentral is "partial 16S ribosomal RNA". It matches the Rfam family "Bacterial small subunit ribosomal RNA", at positions 359 to 774 of the family's 1533-position model. The record is from RNAcentral.